This 268-nucleotide long non-coding RNA is filed under the name Homo sapiens (human). RNAcentral describes it as "HSALNT0122418". The record is from RNAcentral. Lineage: Eukaryota; Metazoa; Chordata; Mammalia; Primates; Hominidae.
AAGACAGCAUGUAAGGGCCGUUGCUGGAAAUGGUGCAGGAAGAAGCAAAAGCCUGCUGAAAGGAGGGCGUCGAGGACGCAUCAGCCCGGAGCAUCGUGGAUUUGGGUCCGAUGGGGCUCUCUGACAUCCCCACAGCGUGAGUGAGCGUCUCAGGGCAGCUUCGUGGUUCUGUAGCGGGAACACAGGAAGCAGAGAGACCUCGGUUGUAGGACUGGAGAAGUCAUAAUCUCUGCUGCUUUUGCAUGUUCCACAAGAAACAGUGCUGACU